GCAUAAGUCGUUGUGUGCCAUAUAGGUUGGUUGUCCUCUUAACCAAUGAGUGUGGAGACACUGGUAUGGCAUACAGGUGAGAUAUAAGGGUACAUCUGCACUGAACGUGACCGACUCCAGAGCUAUUUCUGCUAUCAAGAUUUGCUCCGAUGGAAUAUGGGUAUAAAUGACCCUCCGACCUGAGACCGCCAUGGUGACUUGCAAGCAACUCACUGCACUUAGGCACUGGACUACCUAAAUUUCUAAUUCAGUGACGGAAGGCUGCUGGGUGUAGUCAAGUACUUGACUUGUCGGUGCGUGUGUCA
RNAcentral lists this long non-coding RNA (305 nucleotides) under Elaeis guineensis (African oil palm). Its description in RNAcentral is "long non-coding RNA (EGUI_LNC068844)". Lineage: Eukaryota; Viridiplantae; Streptophyta; Magnoliopsida; Arecales; Arecaceae. The record is from RNAcentral.